This 1452-nucleotide long non-coding RNA is filed under the name Salmo salar (Atlantic salmon). RNAcentral describes it as "lncRNA (ENSSSAG00000104141.1)". The record is from RNAcentral. Lineage: Eukaryota; Metazoa; Chordata; Actinopteri; Salmoniformes; Salmonidae.
GUACGAAGAAAACAUUUGAAAUCAGAAGUAAGGUCUAUUCAGACUCCGUACGGGUAUAGGCUAUGUCCUUUGAGGGUCUGGGUUCCAAACGCCCAUUUUGUACGCUGGCCCUUGACGCACGUACGAUUUGUAAACUGAAAGCUUCUUGAUUAUGAAAGAAAUCCAGCACACUCCUAAAACAUGAUUUGUGCGCCAGCAGAGGGGUAGGCCAAGAGAGCGCGUUAUUUUACACAGCUUGGGGAUUUCUCCACGAAUAGGCCUUGAGCUGCUUAAAAGGGCGUUAUACUAGCAUGGCUACCAUCUCGCCUGAUACAACUAACUGCACCAUGUUUUGUAUCACGAACAAACUUUUCACAAGAGGUUGUGUGAUUUACAAUAGUGGAAACUGGAGAUAGUGUGGGCCAUAGAGGAUAGCAGCAGCCACGUCGAAUAGGCAAUAUAUUUCAGUUUAGAUCAUUAAGUUGCCGUAUUUGCAUAGAUAAAUCAUUACUGUCUCCGCUAGGCUACAAUACUUCCAGUACUCUUGCCUCCGGGACACAUCUGCAUCAGAAUUGUUAUAUUUCUCGAUGUUGAUUGAGUGUCAUUUUCAAAAUGAUAGGCCUAUACAUUUUUCUUGUGCAAGACAGGACAGAACUACCCGUGCUCAAAGAUACAAGAUAACGUCCUUCCUUCGCUACCAGAUGAUUGUUUGGUGGGCAGCAAGGCAGAAUAGCUACCUGCCUGCAGCGGGGGAAGGGGGCCUCCAACGCGGCGGGGACUUCUCUCGCCACCCCGCUGAGUUGGGACGGGCGGAGAGCGAAUCCCCAAUCCCCACCCUAUAGGCACACGGCGCCCAGCUAAGAAAUACAAUCCAACGUCAAUUAAAUGCAGUCUCUGCUGCGAUUUACUGCAAUGAAUGAUAAAUUGUAGUCGUUCUCACACCCUAUAGGAUCUUUUAAAUGGAAAUAAUAGGCAACAUCGUAAUGUAAAAUAUGCAUAGGCUACAUUUACCACAUUACCACAUUUAGUCUCGCUGGUAAACCGUCUCUCGCUUUUGUUGCAAAUUCCAGUCUAAAUAACCAGGUUUGUUUCAAGGCGUCAGUGUUUAAGGUCAAAUUGUUUUAUUGCUAGAUUGAUAGUUAUUCAAGAGCACAGACGUUGCAAAAUAAAAAUGUAGGCUAUCUAGUUACACAUUUGCGAAUAACAAAAUCAUUUCGUAGCUGUCGACCGUGAAAUGAGAACAGGGAAAAUAUGGUUGAGCGUUAAACAGUGUAAACAAUAAUUACAAACAGAAGGGAAAGGACGUGACCUGACAGGCAGGGCUUCUUUCCCAUGCCUAUUGCGCACGUGCAUCAGAAGCAUAUCUCGAUGGAUCUAUUUUAUUUACAAUUCAAAUUUGGACUGUUUCAAUGGAUCAAAUGUAUUUAGAGUUUAAAAGUAAGAAUAGUAUUAAUAAAAACAAAUAUCUAAGAG